Molecule: long non-coding RNA, 2019 nt
Filed under: Ananas comosus (pineapple)
Lineage: Eukaryota; Viridiplantae; Streptophyta; Magnoliopsida; Poales; Bromeliaceae
Description: long non-coding RNA (ACOM_LNC040456)
Source: RNAcentral
UCGGGGCAUAAUAAAAUAAUAUAAUUAGGUUUUACUCUUUGUUCGCAAGAAUGAGAAAAAGUACUCAUUGCAAAGUUAUAAUCUUAUGGAGCAACUGAGCAGUCUAAUGUUUUUCCGGUUUUUGUUCUUCCGAACAUUGACAUCGAUAUGUUGCAAAUUUACACUCUCGGGGCAUAAUAGAAUAAUAAAAUUAGGUUUUACUCUUUGUUCGUUUGAACGAUAAAAAGUACUCAUUGCAAAGUUAUAAUCUCAUGGAGCAACUGAGCAGUCUAAUAUUUUUCCAGUUUUGGUACUUGUGAACGUUGACAUCGAUAAGUUGAAAAUUUACACUCUCGGGGAAUAAUGGACCAAUAUAAUUAGGUUUUACCCUUUGUUCGGUUGAAGGAGAAAAUGUACUCGUUGAAAAGUUAUACUAUUAGGGCGCAACAGAGAAGUCUAAUGUUGGUCCGGUUUUAGUUCUUGUGAACGUUGACAUCGAUACGUUGCAAAUUUACACUCUCGGGGCAUAUUAAAAUAUUAUAAUUAGGUUUUACUCGUUGUUCGUUUGAAUGAGAAAAAGUACUCAUUGCAAAGUUAUAAUCUUAUGGAGCAACUGAGCAGUCUAAUAUUUUUCCGGUUUUGGUUCUUCUAACAUUGACAUCGAUACGUUGCAAAUUUACACUCUCGGGGCAUAAUAGAACAAUAUAAUUAGGAUUUACUCUUUGUUCGAUUGAAUGAGAAAAAGUGCUCGUUGCAAAGUUAUACUGUUAGGGCGCCACUGAGUAGUCUUCUGUAGGUCUGGUUUUGGUUUAUGUGCAUGUUGACAUUGAUACAUUGCAAAUUUAUACAUUCGGGGCAUAAUAUAACAAUAUAAUUAGGUUUUACUCUUCGUUCGGUUGAAUGAGAAAAAGUACUCGUUGCCAAGUUAUACUGUUAGGGCGCAACUGAGUAGUCUAAUGUAUGUCCGGUUUUGGUUAUUGUGAACGUUGACAUUGAUACGUUGUAAAUUUACACUCUCGGGGCAUAAUAGAACAAUAUAAUUAGGUUUUACUCUUUGUUCGGUUGAAUGAGAAAAAGUACUCGUUGCAAAGUUAUACUGUUAGGGCGCAACUGAGUGGGCUACAGUUGGUCUGGUUUUGGUUUAUGUGAAAGUUGACAUCGAUAAGUUGCAAAUUUACACUCUCGGGGCAUAAUAGAAUAAUAUAAAUAGGUUUAACUCUUUGUUCGAUUGAAUGAGAAAAAGCACUGUUUGCAAAGUUAUACUGUUAGGGCGCAACUAAGAAGGCUACUGUUGGUCUGGUUUUGGUUAACGUGAACGUUGACAUCGAUACGUUGCUAAUUUACACACUCGGGGCAUAAUAAAACAAUAUAAUUAGGUUUUACUUUUCGUUCGGUUGAAUGAGAAAAAGUACUCGUUGCCAAGUUAUACUGUUAGGGCGCAACUGAGUUGUCUAAUGUUUGUCCGGUUUUGGUUAUUGUGAACGUUGACAUUGAUACGUUGCACAUUUACACUCUCGGGGCAUAAUAGACCAAUAUAAUUGGGUUUUACUCAUUGUUCGGUUGAAGAUGAAAAAGUACUCGUUGAGAAGUUAUACUGUUAGUGCGCAACAGAGUAGUCUAAUGUUGGUCCGGUUUUGGUUUUUGUGAACGUUGACAUCGAUGCGUUGCAAAUUUACACUCUCGGGGCAUAAUAAAACAAUAUAAUUAGGUUUUACUCUUUGUUCGUUUGAAUGAGAAAAAGUACUCAUUGCAAAGUUAUAAUCUUAUGGAGCAACUGAGCAGUCUAAUGUUUUUUCGGUUUUGGUUCUUCCGAACAUAGACAUCGAUACGUUGCAAAUUUACACACUCGGGGCAUAAUAGAACAAUAUAAUUAGGUUUUACUCUUUGUUCGAUUGAAUGAGAAAAAGUACUCGUUGCAAAAUUAAACUGUUAGGGCGCAACUGAAUAGUCUACUGUUGGUCUCGUGUUGGUUUAUGUGAACGUUUACAUCAAUACGUUGCAAAUUUAUACACUCGAGGAAUAAUAGAACGACAUAAUUAG